GCAGUCGAACGAUGAAGCCCAGCUUGCUGGGUGGAUUAGUGGCGAACGGGUGAGUAACACGUGAGUAACCUGCCCUUGACUCUGGGAUAAGCCUGGGAAACUGGGUCUAAUACUGGAUAUGACUUCUCACCGCAUGGUGGGGGGUGGAAAGAUUUAUUGGUCUUGGAUGGACUCGCGGCCUAUCAGCUUGUUGGUGAGGUAAUGGCUCACCAAGGCGACGACGGGUAGCCGGCCUGAGAGGGUGACCGGCCACACUGGGACUGAGACACGGCCCAGACUCCUACGGGAGGCAGCAGUGGGGAAUAUUGCACAAUGGGCGCAAGCCUGAUGCAGCGACGCCGCGUGAGGGAUGACGGCCUUCGGGUUGUAAACCUCUUUCAGUAGGGAAGAAGCGAAAGUGACGGUACCUGCAGAAGAAGCGCCGGCUAACUACGUGCCAGCAGCCGCGGUAAUACGUAGGGCGCGAGCGUUAUCCGGAAUUAUUGGGCGUAAAGAGCUCGUAGGCGGUUUGUCGCGUCUGCCGUGAAAGUCCGGGGCUUAACCCCGGAUCUGCGGUGGGUACGGGCAGACUAGAGUGCAGUAGGGGAGACUGGAAUUCCUGGUGUAGCGGUGAAAUGCGCAGAUAUCAGGAGGAACACCGAUGGCGAAGGCAGGUCUCUGGGCUGUAACUGACGCUGAGGAGCG
Molecule: ribosomal RNA, 684 nt
Filed under: bacterium StP11-27F
Lineage: Bacteria
Description: bacterial SSU rRNA
Rfam family: Bacterial small subunit ribosomal RNA
Source: RNAcentral